GACGAACGCUGGCGGCGUGCUUAACACAUGCAAGUCGAGCGGUAAGGCCCUUUCGGGGGUACACGAGCGGCGAACGGGUGAGUAACACGUGGGUGACCUGCCCUCAGCUCUGGGAUAAGCCUGGGAAACUGGGUCUAAUACUGGAUAUGACUCCACGGUGCAUGUCGUGGGGUGGAAAGCCUUGUGCGGCUGAGGAUGGGCCCGCGGCCUAUCAGCUUGUUGGUGGGGUGANGGCCUACCAAGGCGACGACGGGUAGCCGGCCUGAGA
Molecule: ribosomal RNA, 268 nt
Filed under: uncultured bacterium
Lineage: Bacteria
Description: partial 16S ribosomal RNA
Rfam family: Bacterial small subunit ribosomal RNA
Source: RNAcentral